GGCCGGGUCCCGUGCAACGAUUGCUCGUGAACCGGGUCAGGGCCGGAAGGCAGCAGCCCUCAGCGAAACCAAUCGUGUGCCGCGGGUAGCCUGGUCGCC
This 99-nucleotide signal recognition particle RNA is filed under the name Actinomycetes bacterium. RNAcentral describes it as "signal recognition particle sRNA small type". It matches the Rfam family "Bacterial small signal recognition particle RNA". From Rfam's summary of the family: The signal recognition particle (SRP) is a universally conserved ribonucleoprotein involved in the co-translational targeting of proteins to membranes. Archaeal SRP consists of a 7S RNA and homologues of the eukaryotic SRP19 and SRP54 proteins. Lineage: Bacteria; Bacillati; Actinomycetota; Actinomycetes. The record is from RNAcentral.